UACGGAGGGCGCGAGCGUUGUCCGGAUUCACUGGGUGUAAAGGGCGCGUAGGCGGGUUUGUAAGUCAGGGGUGGAAUCUCACGGCUUAACCGUGAAACUGCCUCUGAUACUGCAAAUCUUGAGUUCGGAAGAGAGUAGCGGAAUUCCAGGUGUAGUGGUGAAAUACGUAGAUAUCUGGAAGAACACCAGUGGCGAAGGCGGUUACUUGGUCCGUAACUGACGCUGAGGCGCGAAAGCGUGGGGAGCAAACAGGAUUAGAUACCCUGGUAGUCCACGCUGUAAACGAUGAAUACUAGGUGUUGGUCCCGUUAGGGAUCAGUGCCGCAGCUAACGCAUUAAGUAUUCCACCUGGGGAGUACGAUCGCAAGGUUGAAACUCAAAGGAAUUGACGGGGGCCCGCACAAGCAGUGGAGCAUGUGGUUUAAUUCGAUGCAACGCGAAGAACCUUACCUAGGCUUGAAAGGCAGAUGACAGGGUAUGAAAGUACCCCUCCCGCAAGGGCAUCUGUACAGGUGCCGCAUGGCUGUCGUCAGCUCGUGCCGUGAGGUGUUGGGUUAAGUCUCGCAACGAGCGCAACCCCUACCAUUAGUUGCCAUCAGGUAAUGNUGGGCACUCUAAUGGGACUGCCUAACGUAAGUAGUGAGGAAGGUGGGGAUGACGUCAAGUCAGCAUGGCCCUUACGCCUAGGGCUACACACGUGCUACAAUGGGUGUUACAACGGGUAGCGAAACCGCGAGGUGGAGCCAAUCCCUUAAAAGCACCCUCAGUUCGGAUUGGAGUCUGCAACCCGACUCCAUGAAGCUGGAAUUGCUAGUAAUCGCGCAUCAGCACGGCGCGGUGAAUACGUUCCCGGGCCUUGUACACACCGCCCGUCAAGCCAUGGAAGCCGGGGGUACCCGAAGCCAGUGACCCAACCCACUUCGGUGGGAGGGAGCUGUCGAAGGUAAAACCGGUGACCGGGGAU
RNAcentral lists this ribosomal RNA (964 nucleotides) under unidentified green sulfur bacterium OPS185. RNAcentral describes it as "bacterial SSU rRNA". It matches the Rfam family "Bacterial small subunit ribosomal RNA", at positions 524 to 1482 of the family's 1533-position model. The record is from RNAcentral. Lineage: Bacteria; Pseudomonadati; Chlorobiota.